GGCAGAUUAAAGCGGUGCACCUGAAUACUAACUAGCUAGCCUUGGAGAGAGGAGACACGAAGCCACGGAGCCGUCCCGUGUGUUAACAGCAAGCCACAUUCGAAACGCGGUCGACAAGUUUCCUCAGACAAGACUCCAGAGGCAAAUCAGAGAGAGGCCUUCAGAAGGAGGAACUGGUCCUGCUAACCCAUGGAGAUAGCGUUGAUAAAGUGGCUGAUGGCUUUAAAGAGGCAACAUCAU
Perca flavescens (yellow perch) is the source of this 240-nucleotide long non-coding RNA. RefSeq lists it as uncharacterized. The record is from RefSeq and is a predicted model, not a curated record. The transcript has 3 exons. NCBI's taxonomy places the organism in Eukaryota, Metazoa, Chordata, Actinopteri, Perciformes, Percidae.